CUUUUGUUUAGUAUUUAAGAUAAUAUAAUUGUAUUUUGAUUGUUAUAUCUAAGAUUUCACCCGUGGUAUACCUUCUCGUAUUACUAUCGACCCAAACCAGUCCUACCAUCUAAUCCUAUUCAGUGAAACUAAACAUAUCUAAUGGAUUUUAACCGUGGUAUACCAUCUUGUAUUACUAUCGACCCAAUCCCGUCGUACCAUCUAAUCUCAUUCAGUGAAAUUAAACAUGUCUAAUGGAUUUCACCCGUGGUAUACCGUCUCGUAUUACUGUCGACCCAAACCCGUCCUACCAUCUAAUCCCGUUCAGUGAAACUAAACAUAUCUGAUGGAUUUCACCCGUGGUAUACCGUCUCGUAUUACUGUCGACCCAAACCCGUCCUACCAUCUAACCUCGUUCAGUGAAAUUAAACAUUUUGUUUUUGUUAUUUUUGUUUUAAUAAUAUUUUAAUUUAAAAGA
This 457-nucleotide small RNA is filed under the name Arabidopsis thaliana (thale cress). RNAcentral describes it as "ATSL159820". Lineage: Eukaryota; Viridiplantae; Streptophyta; Magnoliopsida; Brassicales; Brassicaceae. The record is from RNAcentral.